GCGGUACUCUGACCGUGCAAAGGUAGCAUAAUCAUUUGCCUUAUAAUUGAAGGCUUGUAUGAAUGGUUUGACAAGAAUAAAGCUGUCUCUUUACAAAUAAAUAUAACUUUAUUUACAGGUGAAGAAGCCUGUAUUGUAUUGAAAGACAAGAAGACCCUAUCGAGCUUUAAACAAAUUAGUAAAAAGUAAAUUGUAUUUAUAUCGAAUUAGUUACUAAAAAUUUUAGUUGGGGCGACUAAGGAACAACUAAAGCUUCCUAAAAGAUUUUAAAUACUAUCAGGUUGUGAUCCAAAAAUUUUGAUUAAAGAAAUUAGUUACCGUAGGGAUAACAGCAUUAUCUUUUUUAAGAGUUCAAAUCGAAAAAAAGGUUUGUGACCUCGAUGUUGGACCAGAAUAUCCUGAAGAUGCAGCCGUCUUCAAGGGUUGGUCUGUUCGACCAUUAAAAUUCU
Molecule: ribosomal RNA, 449 nt
Rfam family: Bacterial large subunit ribosomal RNA